AGAUCUUAACAAAAACUGUUUUGAUAUUGUGCUUAAAUUGCCCAAGAAGUUUAAAAUAAUGCUAAAAAAUGGUGAUCAUUUUAUUAUGUCAACACAUUAGAUAUUGACUUUAUAUACUAUACUGGUAUAUCUGUUUGUUAAAAAGACCUUCUAAAAUUACAUAGAGAUGUAUAGGCAAAUUCUGGUAAUUAGAUUGUCAGUUUUGGUAAGCUCUUAAUCUGGUUUUGUGUAUGUCUUACUGGUUACAAAUGUACGAGUACAGCAGUGAUACCCCUUCAAUCAUACUGCCAGGUUCUCUUAGGGGGUCUCCAAGAGGCAGUAAAAUGGCCCACAAAUUUCUCUAAGGUAAAUAGAAUGACACUAAAUUUGGCCUUUUGUUGCUCAAAUCUGCCCCAGGUAUUAGAAAAAAGUUACAGAAGACAAAGAUUUUAAAGAAAAGCUGAGAGAUUGCUCAGAGGGUUUUUAAGAAGUUGGUAAAUGUUUUGACAUUAGACUUUGGAAAGAAAGAAAGAAAGAAAGAAAGAAAGAAAGAAAGAAAGAAAGAAAGAAAGAAAGAGAGAGAAAGUUGGGGCAGUGCCCAGAGGAAAAAGGAAAGUCAGAAAAUAGGGGCUAAGGGUAGAGAAAGAUCAGUGAUGUUACUGCAAAGAAAAAGGACACUGGAAGAAAGGCUGUUUUAUCAACAAGCCAUUUAGACUGCUUGUAGAUGAACUUAAAGACAUAAGCCGGGGAGUGCUGACCCAAAAACUUGGGCCAUGGCACAGACCCGUUGCCUAUUUGUCAAAUAUUGGACCCUGUAGCUGCUGGAUGGACAAAAUGCCUGAGGACAAUAGCACCUGUGGCACAGCUGGUAAGGAAAGCAGACAAGCCAUCACUGGGGCAAGUCCAAUGCCCACCUAACCUGCUACCAAGUUCUGUUCCUAGACCAGCCAUGAGUGAAAUUCAGUGCUGCUACCGGCCUGAACCCUGCCACCCUGAUGUUGGAGACGGAUCCUGAGGCUCCCUACAAAUGCAUGACUGCCAAGAGGUAUGCCUUUGCUACAUGGCGUGUGCAUGGAGCAUGUGGGGAGAGAAGAUUCCUGACUCCCACCGGGAAGAUGAUCCAGCAAAAGAACCUACUGGAGGCCGCAUGGACCCUGCAAGAAGCAGCCGUGACCCAUUGUUCCGGACAUCAGAAAAGAAACUAGAGGGCAGAUGAAGCCACUUGUGCAGCUACACAACAAGCAGAGCCAGCCUUGACAUUGAUUCUACUAGGCUCCCUGCUUCCAAAGGACCCUGGAUACACCUAUAUUGCAGGACAAUUAGAAUGCUGUGCUACAAGCCUUUGGGAAGGACCCUGUCACCUGCUGCCUGCUCCACAAGGCACACCCAGUGAGAAAGACCUUAUAUUGUGAUCCUGAGUACACCAACUGCUGCAAAGGUUGCCAGAAAGUGCCACUAGAUUCAUCACACUCCUUUGAAGAGGACAGUUGCUGAUCCCACUGACCCAAAAGAAAAAAAAAAGAUGAAGAUGAAUCAAAGAUUUGAUUCUCGGCUAAGACAAGUGGGGAAUGUAAAAGGCAGUAGCCUUGAAAUUCCCUUUUUAUGCAGUUGUUUGUUAAGUGCUUUUAGUAUGAGUUGCUUGUAGUAUGGGGUGGAAAAUUCCUUGCCCCUUCCCCCUUGAAUAAGCAGGACCUAAUCAGUGAAGGCCACCCAUUGUUCGAAGGACCCUGCCUGGGGACAAGCCUUAUCAGGACCUCAUCAGUGAAGGCCACCCAUUGUUCGAAGGACCCUACAUGGGGACAAGCCUUAUCAGGACCUUUGAACAGACUUUGUGGUGUGCUGCCUACCGGAUGGGUGGUCAUAGCCGAUGGCAGGAGGAUGUGGCGACCCUGCCUGGUUGAAUUCUAUUGGUUGUGUGAUCUUACUAUAUUUGAAAAUAGCCCGCGCUUUGCUUUGUAUGGGCCCCGCUUUUUGCUAAGUUUGAAAUGAUUGGAUCUUGUGUUUGCUAUAGCCUGUUAUUGGAUGUAGGUUGAUAAGGUGAUGUGCUCCCCCUCCCUGAGUGUAGUCUGAAUUCCUAUAAAUUGUAUGGUUUGAGCCCUGUUCGGGGUCGAGUUUGGUAGACUAACACCAGUCACCAUCUCGGCCCGGAUUGCAAUUCGUCAAUAAACAUCUUUGCUUCCUUACA
Long non-coding RNA from Erinaceus europaeus (western European hedgehog), 2164 nucleotides. RefSeq lists it as uncharacterized. NCBI's taxonomy places the organism in Eukaryota, Metazoa, Chordata, Mammalia, Eulipotyphla, Erinaceidae. The transcript is spliced from 2 exons. The record is from RefSeq and is a predicted model, not a curated record.